GUAGCUUCAUAGUUAAUUGGUUCAUUGUUCUAUUUUUUCAUUCCGUUCAUUCUUCUGUUGAGUGCCGCUGACUUUUGUAAGGAUGGUUGGAGGAGUGGUCUAUGUUUCAGAAUUGGACUACUGGGCAAAGUUCUGCAGUUUGUUAUACCAUGUACCAAAUGAAGCUAAAGUAUUCUUUGUCAUUACCUGGCUGAAAUCAUCUUUGCUAUCCAGCAGUUCUACACUUUCUAGUUUGGAAUAUGAAAAGAUGCAUUGUUUGGAUCUGGUAGACAUGACUUUAAAAAAAGUAAACAAAGAAUAAUACAUCAACGUAAAUUUUUAUUGGUCAACAAGUAGUACUUGGAUAUUAAAUCACGAGCUCACAAAUCAUGUGCUUGCAUGGCACGAAUUCAGUACAACCUGAAGACUCAACUAGGACUUCCAGGCUUCACCAUCUCUCAUUGUGGGCUUUUACGGCAGUAGUCAACGCUCGAGUACAACGGCUUCAAUAGUUUCCCACGUCGUGUGUAGGUGACUUUGCUGUUUCUCAGACCAGCCCUACACUUGAGAUCCAGCAAAACAUUUCGAUCAUCGAUACCUCAAUUGGCACAAUUCAGUCGGGAAUUUUCGCAGUCGUAGUUGAGCGUCCGUUUUAAUCGGAUUGUUAGAGGCUCAACUCCAUCAUCUGAUUUAAGCCGAGUCUUCCAUCAUUGUUGAUGUCCUUUGCCGACCGUAAUACCUUUUCCAGCCUGGAACUGAAGCACGUUAGAUGUGUGACAAAGAAAGUUGAAAUAACACACUGAACGAUUGCUGAAGGAUAAGUGAAGAAAUCAACCAUCAUCAACAUCUAACGCUAGGAGAUGAAUUCCGAUGUUCACAAUGACGAAAAGGGAGGCGCAUUGAGAAAGAAACUUUAUUUCGCUACUUCUUCCAAAUCGGCCUCUCGAAGUUCUAUCGUCCGGAAUUUAUAUCGUUGGAACUCGCUCAACAGUAUCUGGUGGUAUUGUGUUUUGGUCAAUCAACUCUGAAAACCCAUUGGCCUGGAAGGUGUCCCCUGUCGCGAGGUGAUAUGAGUUUGCACGACGUUGAUCGAGAAGGCGAGAUUGGGUUGUUGAAUUAGUCGUGAAGUCGUUCUUAUCGUCCAACAUUUCGUGGAAGUGGUUCAGUUGAAAAUCGCGCUGGCGGUAACUAUCGAGCAAAGUAAACAGAAUUGCCAUCAGCCGAAACGAAGAGCACCAAUUUCUGCAAAUAAAUGUUCCACGACAUACUAUUGAGAAUCGCAAGACAUCAAUAUUGACAACAUCAACAUGAUUCUACCGUUAAUUCAAUGGCUUCGGCGGUACUCCGUUCCAGGACCCUUCCAAUGAAAUGAAAGAACAUUUUCCGUGCGACAUCAGGGUGGAACAUAAUGACAAUGAAAACAUGAAGACCUCCACAAAAGCUUCAUAUGGUAACGCCACCGUAUGACAGCAUACGGACCCAUGCAGUAACCCGUGGAACAGCUCCGUACUGGAUGAUUCUAUAGGACGACGCCGGAGGACUUGGGGAAACAACAACCAAAAUCGUAAACCGUGAUAGCUGAUUCAAGCGUGGAGUUCAAAUUAUUAGCCAAGGUUCUCGUGAUGCUCCUCUUUCUUUUCCUGCAGUUGCCGUGUGAGAAACAACCGAAACCUACAGAACUUAAUGCGAGUCCUUUCAAACAAGCACCGUUACAAUUUAGUGUUCCUCAGCUGCAUUUGUGGAACGACGACGGGCGAAUGGGGUCUACUCGGCCUAGACAACAAUGAGCAGAACGUCGUUCUCAUCAACCCAACCCAAAAACAUUGACGGAAUAUUGCCAAGGAUCUUGGCAUGAAACCAGGACUGAAAUGCCACUUACGAGUCGAAUUGAUUGCAUAUAAUAACAGCUCUUUCUUUUUAGCGACAACAGUCCUUUAGUUAAUAAUUCCCAUUAUUUCCGUGUUAUUUGAUUCGUAUAAUUAUUUUAACAAUUAUUCAAGGCAAUGGAGAAUGGAUCUAUUUUAGAAGUUGAAAAAUCAACGAUAAUAAUCAUGAAAAAUUGUAGUGUCGGCAAAGCCUAUCGCCAAAAGUUGAAAGUUGCCAAUCCGAAUUCGACAACAACAUUUACAUUGUGCGACAAUGAUAGCGUAACUACACAAUAUAACAAAAAAAGUGGCUGACCAAUGAAAUUUCUGCCAUUGCACGCGGUGGAAUGACUGCAAAAUUACGUUAAUUAUUACAUACAUAUAUAAUUAAGCUCAAUAAAAAACACAUACAGUUUAA
This 2262-nucleotide long non-coding RNA is filed under the name Daphnia pulex (common water flea). RNAcentral describes it as "uncharacterized LOC124201950, transcript variant X4". The record is from RNAcentral. Lineage: Eukaryota; Metazoa; Arthropoda; Branchiopoda; Diplostraca; Daphniidae.